This 1429-nucleotide ribosomal RNA is filed under the name Streptomyces albidoflavus. Its description in RNAcentral is "partial 23S ribosomal RNA". It matches the Rfam family "Bacterial large subunit ribosomal RNA", at positions 1525 to 2925 of the family's 2925-position model. The record is from RNAcentral. Lineage: Bacteria; Bacillati; Actinomycetota; Actinomycetes; Kitasatosporales; Streptomycetaceae.
CCGUGCGAUAGGUAAAUCCGUCGUACAUGUGGCUGAGACCUGAUGCCGAGCCGAUUGUGGUGAAGUGGAUGAUCCUAUGCUGUCGAGAAAAGCCUCUAGCGAGUUUCAUGGCGGCCCGUACCCUAAACCGACUCAGGUGGUCAGGUAGAGAAUACCGAGGCGUUCGGGUGAACUAUGGUUAAGGAACUCGGCAAAAUGCCCCCGUAACUUCGGGAGAAGGGGGGCCAUGUCUGGUGAUGAGUCUUGCACUCUGAGCUGGGUGUGGCCGCAGAGACCAGCGAGAAGCGACUGUUUACUAAAAACACAGGUCCGUGCGAAGCCGUAAGGCGAUGUAUACGGACUGACGCCUGCCCGGUGCUGGAACGUUAAGGGGACCGGUUAGUCACAUUUCGGUGUGGCGAAGCUGAGAACUUAAGCGCCAGUAAACGGCGGUGGUAACUAUAACCAUCCUAAGGUAGCGAAAUUCCUUGUCGGGUAAGUUCCGACCUGCACGAAUGGCGUAACGACUUCUCGACUGUCUCAACCAUAGGCCCGGUGAAAUUGCAUUACGAGUAAAGAUGCUCGUUUCGCGCAGCAGGACGGAAAGACCCCGGGACCUUUACUACAGUUUGAUAUUGGUGUUCGGUUCGGCUUGUGUAGGAUAGGUGGGAGACUGUGAAGCAUGCACGCCAGUGUGUGUGGAGUCGUCGUUGAAAUACCACUCUGGUCGUGCUGGAUGUCUAACCUGGGUCCGUGAUCCGGAUCAGGGACAGUGUCUGAUGGGUAGUUUAACUGGGGCGGUUGCCUCCUAAAGAGUAACGGAGGCGCCCAAAGGUUCCCUCAGCCUGGUUGGUAAUCAGGUGUUGAGUGUAAGUGCACAAGGGAGCUUGACUGUGAGACCGACGGGUCGAGCAGGGACGAAAGUCGGGACUAGUGAUCCGGCGGUGGCUUGUGGAAGCGCCGUCGCUCAACGGAUAAAAGGUACCCCGGGGAUAACAGGCUGAUCUUCCCCAAGAGUCCAUAUCGACGGGAUGGUUUGGCACCUCGAUGUCGGCUCGUCGCAUCCUGGGGCUGGAGUCGGUCCCAAGGGUUGGGCUGUUCGCCCAUUAAAGCGGUACGCGAGCUGGGUUUAGAACGUCGUGAGACAGUUCGGUCCCUAUCCGCUGUGCGCGUAGGAAUAUUGAGAAGGGCUGUCCCUAGUACGAGAGGACCGGGACGGACGAACCUCUGGUGUGCCAGUUGUUCUGCCAAGGGCAUGGCUGGUUGGCUACGUUCGGGAGGGAUAACCGCUGAAAGCAUCUAAGCGGGAAGCCUGCUUCGAGAUGAGUAUUCCCACCUCCUUGAGAGGGUAAGGCUCCCAGUAGACGACUGGGUUGAUAGGCCGGAUAUGGAAGCCCUGUAAGGGGUGGAGUUGACCGGUACUAAUAGGCCGAGGGCUUGUCCUCAGUUG